GCUGAGCACUUUCGGGUGUGGAUGAGUGGCGAACGGGUGAGUAACACGUGGGUAAUCUGCCCUGCACUCUGGGAUAAGCCUUGGAAACGGGGUCUAAUACCGGAUAUGACAUGUCACCGCAUGGUGUGCGUGUGGAAAGUUCCGGCGGUGCAGGAUGAGCCCGCGGCCUAUCAGCUUGUUGGUGGGGUAGUGGCCUACCAAGGCGACGACGGGUAGCCGGCCUGAGAGGGUGACCGGCCACACUGGGACUGAGACACGGCCCAGACUCCUACGGGAGGCAGCAGUGGGGAAUCUUGCGCAAUGGGCGAAAGCCUGACGCAGCAACGCCGCGUGGGGGAUGACGGCCUUCGGGUUGUAAACCUCUUUCGACACCGACGAAGCCUUCGGGUGACGGUAGGUGUAGAAGAAGCACCGGCUAACUACGUGCCAGCAGCCGCGGUAAUACGUAGGGUGCGAGCGUUGUCCGGAUUUAUUGGGCGUAAAGAGCUCGUAGGCGGUUUGUCGCGUCGGCCGUGAAAACUCACAGCUUAACUGUGGGCGUGCGGUCGAUACGGGCAGACUUGAGUUCGGCAGGGGAGACUGGAAUUCCUGGUGUAGCGGUGAAAUGCGCAGAUAUCACGAGGAACACCGGUGGCGAAGGCGGGUCUCUGGGCCGAUACUGACGCUGAGGAGCGAAAGCGUGGGGAGCGAACAGGAUUAGAUACCCUGGUAGUCCACGCCGUAAACGUUGGGCGCUAGGUGUGGGGACC
This 749-nucleotide ribosomal RNA is filed under the name Saccharopolyspora sp. DST97. RNAcentral describes it as "bacterial SSU rRNA". It matches the Rfam family "Bacterial small subunit ribosomal RNA", at positions 68 to 830 of the family's 1533-position model. Lineage: Bacteria; Bacillati; Actinomycetota; Actinomycetes; Pseudonocardiales; Pseudonocardiaceae. The record is from RNAcentral.